This 617-nucleotide unclassified non-coding RNA is filed under the name Xylariaceae sp. RNAcentral describes it as "partial contains 18S rRNA, ITS1, 5.8S rRNA, ITS2, and 28S rRNA". The stretch from base 237 to 390 matches the Rfam family "5.8S ribosomal RNA". Lineage: Eukaryota; Fungi; Ascomycota; Sordariomycetes; Xylariales; Xylariaceae. The record is from RNAcentral.
UGGAAGUAAAAGUCGUAACAAGGUCUCCGUUGGUGAACCAGCGGAGGGAUCAUUACUGAGUUUUGAAAAAGACUCCCAAACCCUGUGAACCUACCUAUUGUUGCCUCGGUAGGUGGCCUCGUUGCGCUGUAGGAAUAAAUCCCUAUAGUACAGUGGGUGCACCCUGCCGAAGGCCCCUAUAAACUCUUUGUAUUUUGAACAUUGGAUCUUCUGAAGUGGAAAAAAAAAAUAGUUAAAACUUUCAACAACGGAUCUCUUGGCUCUGGCAUCGAUGAAGAACGCAGCGAAAUGCGAUACGUAAUGUGAAUUGCAGAACUCAGUGAAUCAUCGAAUCUUUGAACGCACAUUGCGCCCGCCAGUAUUCUGGCGGGCAUGCCUGUUCGAGCGUCAUUUCAACCCUUAAGCCUCUGUCGCUUAGUGUUGGGAGACCGCUAGGAUGUCCUUGCAGCUCCCUAAAUUCAGUGGCGGAGUAGGUCUUCACCCCAGACGUAGUAGCUAUUACAUCGCCUGUGGUAUAGGCCCUCUCUUGCCGUAAAAAUGCCCUAAAAAGCACUAUAGGUUGACCUCGGAUCAGGUAGGAAUACCCGCUGAACUUAAGCAUAUCAAUAAGCGGAGGA